RNAcentral lists this unclassified non-coding RNA (334 nucleotides) under soil metagenome. RNAcentral's name for it is "partial contains 5.8S ribosomal RNA, internal transcribed spacer 2, and large subunit ribosomal RNA". The stretch from base 1 to 118 matches the Rfam family "5.8S ribosomal RNA", at positions 37 to 154 of the family's 154-position model. The record is from RNAcentral.
UGAAGAACGCAGCGAAAUGCGAUAAGUAAUGUGAAUUGCAGAAUUCAGUGAAUCAUCGAAUCUUUGAACGCACAUUGCGCCCGCCAGUAUUCUGGCGGGCAUGCCUGUUCGAGCGUCAUUUCAACCAUCAAGCCCCAGGCUUGUGUUGGGGACCUGCGGCUGCCGCAGGCCCUGAAAACCAGUGGCGGGCUCGCUGUCACACCGGGCGUAGUAGAUUUUAUCUCGCUCAGGGCGUGCUGCGGGUUCCGGCCGUUAAAAAGCCUUUUUUACCCAAGGUUGACCUCGGAUCAGGUAGGAAGACCCGCUGAACUUAAGCAUAUCAAUAAGCGGAGGA